GACGAACGCUGGCGGUGUGCUUAAUACAUGCAAGUCGAACGAUAAGGCCCUUCGGGUACGAUAAGUGGCGGACGGGUGAGUAAUACGUAGGUAAUCUGCCUUAAGGAAGAGGAUAACACUGGGAAACUGGUGCUAAUACUCUAUAUGUCAUAACCUGUAAUGGUUAUGAUGAAAGUACCAACGCCUUAAGAUGAGCCUGCGGCUGAUUAGCUUGUUGGUGGGGUAAUGGCCUACCAAGGCGACGAUCAGUAGCUGGUCUGAGAGGAUGAUCAGCCACAAUGGGACUGAGACACGGCCCAUACUCCUACGGGUGGCUG
Molecule: ribosomal RNA, 317 nt
Filed under: uncultured cyanobacterium
Lineage: Bacteria; Bacillati; Cyanobacteriota
Description: bacterial SSU rRNA
Rfam family: Bacterial small subunit ribosomal RNA
Source: RNAcentral